Spinacia oleracea (spinach) is the source of this 712-nucleotide long non-coding RNA. RefSeq lists it as uncharacterized. The transcript is spliced from 2 exons. Lineage: Eukaryota; Viridiplantae; Streptophyta; Magnoliopsida; Caryophyllales; Amaranthaceae. The record is from RefSeq and is a predicted model, not a curated record.
CAAUCACACUCUAUGGAUUGCUUACAUAUGCAAAGGCUUAUCUGUACUGAUAGUCAAGUUAAUUGUAUCUGUACAUAUGGAUUGUGCUUACAUAUGCAAAGGAUUUUUUAAAGUGUAUCUGUACUGAAGUUAACUACAUUCAGAUGUCAUCACUGCCAACUAUAAUGUUGAUGUACAGAAUACUACUGCAAGCAUUUAUUUGACCCUCGAAUUUCAUUUUUGUAUUUAUGUAAAGAAGGUCAUGGAUCUAAAUUCCUUAUAAUGAAACUAUACUUAUUUCCUCUUUUGCUUCUCACACAUUGAUUAAGGUGACCUCAGCCCACAAAAAUGUAGAAAUUCAUUGGACUUGAGAAAUUGUCUAACAUAAACUUUGAUCUGGAUCCUCAAUGCAGCUAUAUAAUCAAGAUUUUUAUUGACAAAAAGUAUGCUUUGCCUUAUCGGGUGCUGGAUGCUUUGGUUGCUCAUUUCAUGAGAUUUGUAGAAGACUCAAGGGUUAUGCCAGUGAUCUGGCAUCAGACUCUUCUUGCCUUUGUUCAAAGGUUUUCACAACUCCAAGGGAGGGGCCCUUCACCAAAGAGGAGUUGGAUGAAGUUCGAGACAAGUGGGCUACUUACUUCAACGAUUUGAACUACCCUCAGUGUAAUAAUUAGAGCAGGCUUGUAGUUAUUCGUGACUCUUACAUUAUUUUGUUAUUUAUCGAUUUAAUUAAUUA